GGCUAGAUAAUAAAAAUGAAGUAAUUACUAGUACUCGUGGUUCCUUUAGGUUCGACAAUCUGGUCUUGCUAAACUAUACUACUGUUCGAUAGGUACACUUGCCUUCAUCGUGAUAAUAGUUAGUUCCAAGAGCGAUUCAUUUAUAAAUUUUUAAAAACUGUUGCAUUAUCACGCAAACAUCAGCCACACAUUGGCCAACACUGUCUUCAUCGACUGGAAGUU
Molecule: long non-coding RNA, 222 nt
Filed under: Gossypium barbadense (sea-island cotton)
Lineage: Eukaryota; Viridiplantae; Streptophyta; Magnoliopsida; Malvales; Malvaceae
Description: long non-coding RNA (GBAR_LNC009531)
Source: RNAcentral